UACCCAAAAACAAAAAUAAAUAAAUAAAAGAAAGAAAAGAGGGAAACAAAACGAUCACCCCUUUCUUUUUUUCUUUUUCUCUUUCUUUU
RNAcentral lists this non-coding RNA (89 nucleotides) under Palpitomonas bilix. The record is from RNAcentral.